RNAcentral lists this transfer RNA (75 nucleotides) under Gasterosteus aculeatus (three-spined stickleback). It matches the Rfam family "tRNA". From Rfam's summary of the family: Transfer RNA (tRNA) molecules are approximately 80 nucleotides in length. Their secondary structure includes four short double-helical elements and three loops (D, anti-codon, and T loops). The record is from Rfam by way of RNAcentral. Lineage: Eukaryota; Metazoa; Chordata; Actinopteri; Perciformes; Gasterosteidae.
GUCUCUGUGGCGCAAUUGGGUCAGCGCGUUCGGCUGUUAACCGAAAGGUUGGUGGUUCAAGCCCACCCAGGGACG